CCAUCGAGCCCUCCUUCCUCUUCUCUCUGCAACAGACCUGCAAAACCCAUCACCAUCUCCUUCUCUCUUCUCUACACCGCCGCAUAAACCUCCAUCGCCUCCCCUACCUCAAACCCAUUCCGCUACCCUUUUUCCCCUAUCUUUCUAGCCUCCUAUUUUAUCAAUUUCUCCCCUUUCGUCUCUGUAACCCAAGGUGAAGAAUUGAUAAAAUAGCUCGAGCUAGAGACCCAACCACAACAGGAGAUGGAACAAGAGGAGCAUAGGAAGUAUGGGUCAAUCAUGGGUCGAGAAACAUUCAGAGCAGAGGUACCUGAGGAGCUGUUAAUGGCCUUGAGAAGCUGUUGCAAGCAGUACUGAGAACCAAAGACUGCAGCUGUUGAAGUUGCUGUUGGUACACAGUCAGUUCAGUGGGCUUGAGUUAAACAAAACAGUAAGCCUAAACUCAAAACAAGUUCUGUGGGCUUGUAUGAAUUAGUGUGUGUUUCUGUUCUGUGGGCUUGUAGUUUGUAACUAAACUGUGGGAUUUUCUCACCGCGCAAUGGGCUUUGUUUAGUUGAUUUGUGGACUUGUAAUCUGAGCCUCGAAACCCAACUGAAAACAGAACACAGAAUUUUGGGCUUUGUAUCACA
This is a long non-coding RNA of Papaver somniferum (opium poppy), 629 nucleotides long. RefSeq lists it as uncharacterized. The record is from RefSeq and is a predicted model, not a curated record. Lineage: Eukaryota; Viridiplantae; Streptophyta; Magnoliopsida; Ranunculales; Papaveraceae. The transcript has 2 exons.